UUACUGGGCAGGUGAUGUAAUUAAUUAAAAGGCAAAUACAAAACAGUGGGGAUCUCUUCCUUUGGCGUGAAAACCUUGCUGUGCUGCAAUGGAAACCGGGGCCAGGAAAAUCUGUUAAAAAUUCAGAUCUUCCUCCACAAAAUAACACCCAAAGCACUUUUCCCGCAGGCUCAGAGCCAAGGGCAAGGUUGUGAGACCUGGGACUGAAUCAACACCUGAACACCUCCAGCCUGAAUUUUGCUUCACUCCCUGCAGCUGGUCUCUCUUUUUCAGGAGAGCUAUUCAGCAGUCCCAGGAGAGAAAAAAAAGGUGCUAUUUUUCCAUGAUAAAAGGCACCAAACUAAAGCUGCAACGGCACAGAGACACUGCUUUAUUUUUUCUAAUUACUUCAGCUCUUGAAAGCACUGAAUGAUCUUCCCAAGGCUCUGGGGAAGCUGCUGCUGUUGGGUUUGAUGAAACCUGAUAAUAAAAGUGCACCUGGUAUCCGAAAUGA
Long non-coding RNA from Cyanistes caeruleus (blue tit), 493 nucleotides. RefSeq lists it as uncharacterized. Lineage: Eukaryota; Metazoa; Chordata; Aves; Passeriformes; Paridae. The record is from RefSeq and is a predicted model, not a curated record.